This 775-nucleotide long non-coding RNA is filed under the name Rattus norvegicus (Norway rat). RNAcentral describes it as "long non-coding RNA NONRATT025804". The stretch from base 673 to 741 matches the Rfam family "tRNA". The record is from RNAcentral. Lineage: Eukaryota; Metazoa; Chordata; Mammalia; Rodentia; Muridae.
UUUGUAAUUUCAACAGUCAGGAGAUUGAGUCUAGAAGGAUUGUGAACUCAAGGGUAAGCUAAGCUGUGUAGUGAGCUCAAACAUUCAUGUCCAACUUGGCUAUAUGGUUAACUGAGACAAACUAACAGAUAAGCAGAUAUGUUAUUAACUUGUAGUUUUUAACAGUAAAAGGUGGGUGGAGUCAUUAGCUAGCAUUCACUGUUUUCUUUAUACUUGCAAAUAAAAAUAAUUGGAGUUUAGGAAAAAUAUAGUUAUACAAUACCAAUUAGAAAAAGUUAUGUGAAUUUUAAUAUACUGGAAUUUGAAACUAUUUCUUCUUCCUCUUCCUCACUUUAAAAGGAUUCUCCAAACCUCUUAAAUCCAUGAAUACCUAAGAAGUUUUACUUAGAGUUGCUUGGUAUUUUUAGUUAGUUACAUUUCAGUGAAAGUGUGUAGAGCAGGCUAAUUUUCUAAAGCCAUUUCAAAUUAUAAUUAGUAGGAGUAAGUUCUGGUGAGCUGUUCUAGAGUGUCUAGAAAGACAAAUUUUUUUAUGUUUUUACUGUAAAGAAUAAAUGGUUGAGAGAGUUGGAUCUGAUUUAAAUGUCACAGUAUGUGCACACAUUGAAACAGCACAAGUACCUAACAGUUUGCAUAGUGUUUAUGCACCAGUUAAAAAUGUAAAAGGUAGGGGUUGGGGAUUUAGCUCAGUGGUAGAGCGCUUGCCUAGGAAGCGCAAGGCCCUGGGUUCGGUCCCCAGCUCCGAAAAAAAAGAAAAAGAAAAAGAAAAUUUAAAAGG